This is a non-coding RNA of Callithrix jacchus (white-tufted-ear marmoset), 460 nucleotides long. Lineage: Eukaryota; Metazoa; Chordata; Mammalia; Primates; Cebidae. The record is from RefSeq and is a predicted model, not a curated record.
AGGGCUAUUUGAAUUACCUAAACUGUAGAACUGAUUAUUAAUGGUUUUUGUCCCUUUGACUUGCAGUCCCUAAAAGAUAAGUUAGUACAAGAGAAAAAGCUGUCCAAUAUGUACCAGGAGCAGUGCAUUUCCUUAGAAGAAGAACUUGCCUAAUUUGUGAGGAAGAGGGAAUGAGGAGUGAGAUCUUCAAGGAUCGCGCUAACAAGAUGGGGAAACGUUUACAGAUAACGACAAAACGCUAUGAAGCAGUGGAGCAGCGACGUAUCUUGGAAGUAGAAGGCUUUAAGACAGAUACUAAGGUUCUCCGAUAGAAACUGAAAGACUUGGAGCAAAUGUUGUAUAAGGUAACAGUUAAUGCCCUGGCAAAUCAGGAUCUCACCAUUCUGUGUGAAGUCCAUGACAGCAAUAGACAGGCACAUAAGAUACAAGGAGAAUUGAAGAAUCUUAAGUCCAAAGUGUU